Molecule: long non-coding RNA, 1043 nt
Organism: Sapajus apella (tufted capuchin)
Lineage: Eukaryota; Metazoa; Chordata; Mammalia; Primates; Cebidae
Exons: 3
Source: RefSeq, a predicted model, not a curated record
GGCCUCAGGAAACUUACAAUCACGGCAGGAGGUGGAGGGGAUGCAGGUGUGUCUUACGUUGCUGGAGCAGGAGCAAGAGCGGGAGGGAGGUGCCACGCAAUUUUUAAAUAACCACAUCUCAGAGCUCACUGUGGCAAUGACAGCACAGAGAGGGGAUGGUGUUAAACCAUAAGACACUGCCCCUACCAGGCCCCACCUGCAGCACUGGGGAGUAAAAUUUGACAUGAGAUUUGGGCAGGGACACAGAUCCAAACCAUAUCAGUGGGGAAAGGCAUCUGUUUAAGGAGAGCAUUCAGUUCAGCAAGAUGGACAUUCUGCACAGGCAGUUUCAUUUUUCUAGAUGCUUGAGCCCAAAGCCACUCUGCCUCACAUCAUUAGCAAAUCCUGGCAGCUUGACCCCGAAACCGUAUCCAGAAUCUGUCCAUUUUUCCCCACCUCUGGGCCAAGCCACUGGUAGCUCAUACCUGGGUAACCACAAUGUCCUGCAGUCUCCUGCUCCCACCUUCCCCACUGUGGUCCACUCUUAAACCAACAACAGUUGUCCCGUUAAAUUCCACACACCCUGCCACUCCUAUGCUGUGUCCCUGAAGCCGUCCUGGGCCUGCAUGUGCUGGCUCCAGCUCUUUCCUGACCUCUGCCUCUCUUUCUCCCCCUGCUCCCUGGGCUUUGGCCAAUCUCUGCUCUUUGUGAGACAAGCUUCUGCCCCAGGGCCUUUGCACUUGCUGUGCUCGCUGCCUGGAGCCCUUUUUCCAGAGACUUCUACGGCCCCCUCCCUUUCUCCGUCACCCUUCUGUGAAGCCUUCCCACAUUAUCCACGAUGAAUUUGCAUACUCCAUGGCACUGCUUAUCCCCUCCCUUUCCUGCUUUAUUUUUCUCCAGGUGUUUACUAGUGUGUUUCUGUUUCGACUGCCAGACCGUAAGCUCUGUGAGAGGGCAGGAACUAUGUUUUGUUCAUUGCUAAAAGUUUGGUCCUAGCCUUUCUAUUAGCUCUCAGUGAGAUUACACAUGCAAGCAUCCACAGCCCUGUGAAAAUGCCUGCUAGA